This 769-nucleotide ribosomal RNA is filed under the name uncultured archaeon. Its description in RNAcentral is "bacterial SSU rRNA". It matches the Rfam family "Archaeal small subunit ribosomal RNA", at positions 89 to 861 of the family's 1478-position model. The record is from RNAcentral.
CUCAGUAACACGUGGAUAACCUACCCUUAGGACUGGAAUAACCCCGGGAAACUGGGGAUAAUACCGGAUAGAUCAGGGAUGCUGGAAUGCACCUUGAUCCAAAGCCCCGGCGCCUAAGGAUGGGUCUGCGGCCUAUCAGGUUGUAGUGGGUGUAACGUACCUACUAGCCAACGACGGGUACGGGUUGUGAGAGCAAGAGCCCGGAGAUGGAUUCUGAGACACGAAUCCAGGCCCUACGGGGUGCAGCAGGCGCGGAACCUUUACAAUGUGCGAAAGCAUGAUAAGGGGACUCCGAGUGCCAGCAUCUAAUGCUGGCUGUCCUUGUGCCUAAAAAGCACAAGAUAGCAAGGGCCGGGUAAGACCGGUGCCAGCCGCCGCGGUAACACCGGCGGCCCGAGUGGUAGCCGCUAUUAUUGGGUCUAAAGGGUCCGUAGCCGGUUCGGUAAGUCCUUUGGGAAAUCUGGUUGCUUAACAAUCAGACUGCCAAGGGAUACUGCUGAACUUGAGACCGGGAGAGGUAAGAGGUACUUCAGGGGUAGGAGUGAAAUCUUGUGAUCCCUGGGGGACCAUCUGUGGCGAAGGCGUCUUACCAGAACGGGUCUGACGGUGAGGGACGAAAGCUGGGGGCGCAAACCGGAUUAGAUACCCGGGUAGUCCCAGCCGUAAACGAUGCUCGCUAUGUGUCAGGUACGGUGCGACCGUAUCUGGUGCCGUAGGGAAGCCGUGAAGCGGCCACCUGGGAAGUACGGUCGCAAGACUGAAACUAAAG